This 519-nucleotide ribosomal RNA is filed under the name uncultured eukaryote. RNAcentral's name for it is "SSU rRNA". It matches the Rfam family "Eukaryotic small subunit ribosomal RNA", at positions 1161 to 1698 of the family's 1831-position model. The record is from RNAcentral.
AGGGCACCACCAGGAGUGGAGCCUGCGGCUUAAUUUGACUCAACACGGGAAAACUCACCCGGCCCGGACACUGGAAGGAUUGACAGGUUGAGAGCUCUUUCUCGAUUCAGUGGGUGGUGGUGCAUGGCCGUUCUUAGUUGGUGGAGUGAUUUGUCUGGUUAAUUCCGAUAACGAACGAGACUCUAGCCUAUUAAAUAGAUCGUUGGCUUACAAACGCCGGCGAGACUUCUUAGAGGGACAGGCGGCGAUUCAGCCGCACGAAACAGAGCAAUAACAGGUCUGUGAUGCCCUUAGAUGUCCGGGGCCGCACGCGCGCUACACUGAAGUGAUCAGCGUGCAUUUUGAAACCUACUCUGUCAAGAGUGGGGAACCCAAUGAACCUUCUUCGUGAUUGGGAUAGGGGAUUGUAAUUAUUCCCCUUGAACGAGGAAUUCCCAGUAAGCGCGAAUCAUAAGUUUGCGCUGAUUACGUCCCUGCCCUUUGUACACACCGCCCGUCGCUACUACCGAUUGAAUGUUU